AAAGUUGAAGAGUCUAAUCAGGAACUUUUAGCUUCUAUAAAAAUACUUUCCUUGUAAUAUUAUAGGUAAUCCUCAUUUGGCAUCUGUAAUUAGGACUGGCACAUGAUUAUUAAGUGAAGCAGUGCUAAGGGAAAGCUCACCUGACUGAAACUGUGCUACAAUUUUACUCCAGUUGUCCUUUGCUUGUACAGUGUCAUAAGGAUAUGACCCCAAAGAGUCAGGUUCCUAGCUGAGUAUCAUGAUGACUUCUUUCCAGAGACAGCUUAUGUAGCAGCCUGCGAGGCCUAUUAUACCACCAAAAAUCCACGU
RNAcentral lists this long non-coding RNA (309 nucleotides) under Laticauda laticaudata (blue-ringed sea krait). Its description in RNAcentral is "lncRNA (ENSLLTG00000014665.1)". Lineage: Eukaryota; Metazoa; Chordata; Lepidosauria; Squamata; Elapidae. The record is from RNAcentral.